Pelobates cultripes (western spadefoot toad) is the source of this 366-nucleotide non-coding RNA. NCBI's taxonomy places the organism in Eukaryota, Metazoa, Chordata, Amphibia, Anura, Pelobatidae. The record is from the annotation of a GenBank genome assembly.
AAGAACACUUCACACAAUUUCCCCAGAAAUUGUAGCUUUUUUAGUUAGUGUAAAAUUCCAACCUAUGUGGGAGUUUCUUGCUAUCUCCCUAAUGUAUUGCUGCUGUACACAGGGGAAAACAGAAAUCCCAUUUACAGUAAAUUCUUUUUUUUUUUUCCUUUAUCAGCAGUAGUACAAGCUUACCCUCCCUUAUUGAAUAAAUUUUGAUCGUUUUGCAGUAUUUUUUUUGUUGUGUGUAUUCUUUUGUUUGACUGAUCUGGAUGUCUUCAGGAAUUUAUAGCAAAAGGGGUGGGAUUUCUAAUCUUUUUAAGUUUCUUUGAGGCUACUUCUCCCAGUCAUCUUAAACACUGCCCCUGUGCGCAGGGG